UACGAAGGGGGCUAGCGUUGCUCGGAAUCACUGGGCGUAAAGCGCACGUAGGCGGAUUGUUAAGUCAGGGGUGAAAUCCUGGAGCUCAACUCCAGAACUGCCUUUGAUACUGGCAAUCUCGAGUUCGGGAGAGGUGAGUGGAACUGCGAGUGUAGAGGUGAAAUUCGUAGAUAUUCGCAAGAACACCAGUGGCGAAGGCGGCUCACUGGCCCGGAACUGACGCUGAGGUGCGAAAGCGUGGGGAGCAAACAGG
RNAcentral lists this ribosomal RNA (253 nucleotides) under uncultured bacterium. RNAcentral describes it as "partial 16S ribosomal RNA". It matches the Rfam family "Bacterial small subunit ribosomal RNA", at positions 524 to 776 of the family's 1533-position model. The record is from RNAcentral.